AAAGAAAAAGAAACAGGAGAGAUGUGGAUGAGUGGAGCAUAUUACCCAUGCUUAUCAUCUUCAGGUUGACCUCAAACUUCAAUAGAAAAAGCAAGAAGGUACCUUUUUUUCCAGUGUGUUAACAGGUCCUGAAACUAAUCACUUUGAUGACUUACAGUUGCCUUUCACUUACUAUUCAUUUACUGACAGCUGACCACUGUGCUAAACAGGCUCUCACUAGCCUCCUCAGAUAUACUGCCUCUCACCUAGCCUCAAAAUGACUCUAUAAGAAGGAUAUUAACCUCAUUUCCCUACUAUGGAAAUUGAGAUUCGGAGAGACUAAGUAUCUUGUAUAGCUGGGAUCCAAAUCAAGUCUUUGUGAAUCCAAAGCUUAUAUUCUUUUCUAUGCCCUAAGGCACAUUUCAGAACUAAACUUCAUCAUGGAGCCUGUAAUGAUCUAUAUUUCCAACCAGUACCUAGCCUAAGGCCAGGCACAUAGUGGGCUCAAAGUGAACACUUGUUGAAUAAGUGAAUUCCAAAUGGGAUAGUUGACAAAUGAAGACCUGGGUUCAGCAUAAACAGUGUUUUGGGACAGCAGAGGAGGGCACAGCUGGCUGCUUAGAGAAAAUGGAGAAGUCUUUACAGAGGAGGAAGAUAGGGCCUGGGCAAAUAGGUAGUAGUAGAAAAAGACCAACAAUCCAGUAUUCCAAGAGCAAAAGAUACUAGCUGGCAAUUCACAGGACAAGAAAUCCAAAAGACCAUAAACUAUGAUAAGAGGUGCUCAAUAUCACUAAUGAUCAGAAAUAUGUAAGUGGUCUCAUACAUAGUGGAUGGGAAUACAAAUUGUAAAGGUAUUUGAGGAUAAGUAUUUAAUAUUAUCUAGCAAAAUUUUAAGUGAAGGCUGGGGAUGUAGCUCAGUGGCAGAAGCCCUAGGUUUGAUCCCCAGCACCACACAAAAAAGUGAGCUGUGUUCUUAAAUGUGUAUUUGCAAUUGUUGCAAAAUAUUCUGACAGAAAAAUGGAAAAUAAGUAUUCACCAAUAAGAAACAAAACAAACAAGGACAAAUCUGUAAUACUUUUUUUAUUUUUUAUUUUUUUGGUACUGGGGAUCAAACUCAAGACCUUACGCUUGCGAGGCAGGCGCCAGAACCACUGAGCUAAAUCCCUGGCCCUAUACUACUCUUGUUUUUUUUUAGGCUAUGCUUCUUGUAAAGAAAAAAAAAAGGAUGAAAUUGCAUCUUGGAUAGAUCAUGGAAAGAUCCAAGACAAUACAGUUAAAUGAAAAAGAAGGAAAAUUGUUGAAAUAGAUUUUGUACUCUUCUAAAGUCCAUCAAGGACCUAAUGGUGAGAGCAAGUAUUCCUUCAGUUCCCAAGGACUCUGCUGAUUCUGCUCGGCCUUGAGUGUAGCACCAAAUUAUUUUGCUGGAACAGGAAAAGCUGGAAUGUGUUGAGUCCUAAAUAGAGGAGAGAAGGUUUGGUAAGUGCCUGGCUCUCAGCCAGGACAUGCCCUCAUGCCCUCUGGAAAAGAGCUGAAAUGGAUCAGACACAUGACAACAUGGGGAGCAGAAGAGACUUGUGGAGCCUCCGGAAAAAUGAUGAAGCCACAGUAGAUGAACACAACUAGCUUUCAUGACCAGGCUCUUACUCAAUAGUUAACUGGAGGGUAUGUACAAAUGGGUAACUCCCAAAGGGAUCAGAAAUUAGACCCCAGAAUGUGAGAGAGUAUGGGCCUUCUGAAAUUGCCCAGUUCAAUGCUCUUAUUUUAUGAAUGAAGUGACUGAGGUCUAGAGUAAAGUGACUUUUUCCAGUGUUAUCUGGAUAGCUUUAGGGGAACCUGUGCAUAGUUCCCUUCCUCCACCCCAACAUAUGUAACAGUAUUUUCUAAGAUGAG
This 1869-nucleotide long non-coding RNA is filed under the name Heterocephalus glaber (naked mole-rat). RNAcentral's name for it is "lncRNA (ENSHGLG00000033445.1)". The record is from RNAcentral. Lineage: Eukaryota; Metazoa; Chordata; Mammalia; Rodentia; Bathyergidae.